AUCACUAAUCCACGUCAAAAGUACGUUUAGCAGUUUGAUGGAGCGGACGAAAACUCUGUCACCCGCCUCCGCACUUAUCCCGCAACAAUCACAAUCGAUUCCAGAAAAAGACCUACAAUUGCAACCCCAAUAUCCUCCCGGGAGCUCUCCCCGUCGACCGCACAACGCCCUCAUCGGCACGCUCUUCGCCGGAGCGGCCCAGAGCGGCGUGCGCUGGAAGCUGGAUCCGGGAAGGAGUGCGGCCACAAGCGGGAGACAAGGGGAGGCGCGGUUGUGCUCUCUCUGGUCGCCGGCGCGGCCACCAGAGGGGAGACGGCCAGGGGAAGCGGCGGCCUACGACUCUGUAGGGGAUGCAGCGUCUGGCGGGAGGGGGCGCGCAGUAGGGAAGGCAGCGGUCGGAUCCAGGCGCGGGUGAGGCCUGAAUGCCACACGGGGCCCAUGGCGGCCAGAUCCGGGCCACGCAUGGGAGUCGGUGGUGUCCCGCCGAUGCGUAAAGGAAGCACGGGGCGGCGCGUCAGUGUGUCGUCGUGCACAGCACCGUGCGGGGUGAGCGAUGGGAUGCAAACGACAUUGUAGGCGCCGAUGCCGCACAUGCUUGAUUUGCUGCUGCCGCCGCCUCCGCUUGAGGUCUACGGACGCUGUCGACGAGUUAUGAGGCGGAACCAUCGAGCACCGAGCUGGAAACGACACCAUCGAGGAUGACAGACCGCCACCGAGGCUGAUUGUUGUGGACGCGCCUGCCCACUACAAGUCUCCUAUCGCUGUUGUGUUCCGAGCAGCCAGAGAACUACAGGUGCACGACUCCUGCAACCUGGUAUUUGAGAUGCAUUUCCCAAUCGUCCUGAUUAUGGACUUCUGCUCACGUUUGGAGCGAUCUGAAUUAAAACAAGAAUUCUGUGGAGUCUGCUUGAAUCAAUUGUUCAUCUCUACAUUAACGAAUAGUGAGAUUACCAGAGCAUCCUGGGCCUCCGACUUCUUGAUAUGAUCACUGGAUUGUUCUUUAAUAUUUAACAACCAAGACUGUUCUUUCCUGCAAAAAAUAUAUUUUCUGUCAUGAACUACUAAUGUCACUAUGAUGUCUCAAAGAGCUUUCUUAUAAGUUUGUGGUUAUGCACAUAUACAUGAUCUGGUAAAGGGGGAGACAAUGCAAGUGGCAGAGAUAGAAAGGUAGAGGUGGAAGAAGAGGGUGUGGUAGAGGAAGAGAAAGUCAUGCCAAACAGAAGUGGCAGGGGUUGAGGAAGGUCAGGUACAAGCUGAAGAUUAGGAGGAAGAUUUACAACCCAGUGUUGAAGGAUGUGUCACAUUUUGUUUGGCCGUAGCUACAAUCCAAAAGGGAGAAAUGCAGAAGAAUUUGUUCAGACUUGAAACAUGUGUGAUCGAGGAGAGAGCAACACCCAGCAGUCUGCACUACACACUUGACAUAUGUACAAAGGAUUUAUGUGGGCACAUGACAUACCCGUACAUAUUGUGAAAGUUUACAAGAGAAGCAUGUUGUUCUAAAUGAAUAGUCGCAAAUACGGACCUGGCCAUGGAAAGAUGAACACUAAUUGGCCACAAAUGAGCUACAUUGUUCAGGUUAUGAGUAGUUCUACCUUUAUUAGGCUUGCACAUCUGUUUUGUCCGUCAGUUAGUUCUCUGACUGGUUUUCAUGGUGCACAAACUUGUAUCUUACAACUUAGAUGAAUUAUGUCAUUUAACCGGCUUAUGUGGAUUCCACUUAUUUCUAUGCACACUUGCAUAUCAAAUUUAUUUUAUUUCCGGUGCCUAUUGUAAUGUCCGUUUCAUAGGAACCAAAUAGAAGGAAAUAGGAUUGGUAUUUUUCUGAUUGGAAAUAGUAUACCUUAUAUUUAGUUAUUUUGGAUACAAUUAUGAAAAAUCUUAGAUAGAUCGUGCUAUGAAAUUGUUUCUGUGAUACAGUAUGAACAGUGAUGUGUGGCAGACAAACAUCUAUGGUACAGUGGUUGCCGGCGCUAGCUAAGGGGUGUGGCCAUGGUGCAUCAAUUUCUAUAAAAGAAGAACUGCGAAAUUCAUUGAUCACAAGAAGGUGUUACACGAGUUCUCACGGGAGGAAAGCAUUGCAAAGGGCAGCGCAAAAAAAAGAGAAAGAAAAAGAACCCGUCGACAGAACCACAAACCCAAGCUCUACCAUCAAUCGUGAACACCAUCAGAGCCCUGUUGGGGAUCGUUGCAGAAAUUUAAAAUUUUCUACGCAUCACCAAGAUCAAUCUAUAGAGAGACUAGCAACGAGAGAGAGGGGAGUGCAUCUUCAUACCCUUAAAGAUCGCGAUGCGGAAGCGUUACAAGAACGCGUGUUCGACGAGUUUUUGUGCACUGUUACAUAAGAAAAUAUUUAUUUAAUUGAGUUUUGAUGCAGGCUAGACGUGCGAAGGCAAGGUGUUAAUAAAGGCAAAAAUGCUAUUGCAUGGUA
Aegilops tauschii subsp. strangulata is the source of this 2428-nucleotide non-coding RNA. NCBI's taxonomy places the organism in Eukaryota, Viridiplantae, Streptophyta, Magnoliopsida, Poales, Poaceae. The record is from RefSeq and is a predicted model, not a curated record.